Lolium perenne is the source of this 3125-nucleotide long non-coding RNA. RefSeq lists it as uncharacterized. NCBI's taxonomy places the organism in Eukaryota, Viridiplantae, Streptophyta, Magnoliopsida, Poales, Poaceae. The record is from RefSeq and is a predicted model, not a curated record.
CCAGGCAACAUGGGCCGCCCGACUGGUAGUGGCUGACCGUCUGUCGUUUGGUUUCGAACCCCACUCCCCUCACCUUCCUCUCUAUCGUACGAACCAGAGCCGCCGUUGCCUAGGGUUCGCACCGCCGCCGCAUCCUUCCACGCCGCCUCCCGAUGCCGCUCUCGAUGGCGCCAUCACCAAUCCCACGCCGCUCGACCGCGCACUGGUACUCUAGGUGGAGAUUGGGUAGUAGAGAUUGGAGAGAUGGAUGGGGAUGCGAGGAGCUCGGCCAUGGGGACUGGGAGGAGGUCAGCCACAUGGUCUGUGAGGAGCUAGGUCGCAGGGACGGGAUUAGCUCGCCAGAAGGACAUGAGGAGCUCGGUCAUGGAAAGGAGGGGAGCAGAAACCUGCCUCAUCGCCACCGUCUGUGACCACUAUCCACACCUCUUUCAGGGCCACUAGAGUCAAGCUCUGAUCUCCCUCUACCCAACUACGUCCCCAGCUUCACUCUGCCAGCUGAGAUGAUGAACUUUUGAUUGCAAAUUACCAGAAGGUUUGCUCACCAUCUAUGUGCACGAAGCUGACACUAACUUUAGAUUUCAGGGAGUGGUAAAGCAGAACACACGGAUAACAGUUAUGGUGUGGUGAUGUCGAGCUGUUUGGAAUAGAGCACGGAAAUGCUAGAGUGUUUAGAUGCUGCUAGAGAGCUCUGUAUUGAAAAAUCUUUUAUGCACGAUGCCAAGAUGACAGUUGGGUGCACAAAACCAAGAGAAACGGAACAUGCAUAUGAAAGCAGUCUCCAGUAAAGAUAUGUUUGAAAUCAGAAAGAUUGGAUCUGUUAUCAUGAUGUACGAGGGAAAACACAGCCAUGAAGUUUGAGCAGCCAGAAAUAGCAGGCAUGUGAGCUCUGGUUCUGGCACUCGCAGAACGCCACCAUCUCCACCUUAGGUAAAUCUCUCAUAGCGAUGGUAUUUAUCUUCUAGCAGAUGGUAUUUAUUCAUUAUGAUAUUGAGAUGAAUUAAGAUUCUCUCCAUGGGCUUCGUGAAAUUAAGAUUAAAAAUCACAUGCACAAUAAUUUUCUACACAUCUUGCAGCAGGAAGGUGUGAGUCCACAACCCAGUGCUUCUGUUGGAGUAGUUAAAUCUGAAGCAAUUUCGAAAAAUGAAGCCCUGAGACAUCCAGAAAACUUGAAAGUGCAACAUGGUCAUAUUAUCCCCUUCUAACAUAGAAACAUCGUGCACCGCCAGAUUUGGACCCUUUUUGUCUUUUUUUCUUCUAAACUAGAUGUUUAGUGUCUGCAACUCGUUAUGCAGAAUAUAGAAAAUAGCAAAAUGGAUGGUCUUUCCUUCAUGCAGCGUCUAACUUUUCUAUCAAGAAAUGAACUUCUUCUAUUUGAUUCGGUGAUAGGUUCCUAUUUUUGUUUCUGACCAAAACGUAGGCACUCGUUUGUUGGCCCGGACUUCAGAAUAGAUAGCUGAAUAUAUAAUCAGAUAUACAUCAGCUUUCCAUAGUUUCUGUCAUAUCAUCAUUUUCAGUAAUCGCAAUAAGCAAAGGUUGAUGGACAGUACUCGCAAUAGACUGGUAUUCAUGUUUCUAAAUAGUUUAGAUCUUAAUGACAUGCUAAGCAAAGAGAGAACUGCAGUUUAUGAUUUAUCGAACUGCUGACCAUGUACAUGUCAUGUGUAAAACUGAAACUAAUGAACAUGAGCGAAGAAGUGUUCUCUUAAUUGGCCUUAUCACAAUUCUGAAUACCACGAGUUCCACUCAUCCACGCGGCCACGAGACGGACCUCCUGUUUCUGGUACGCUCAUUCUUCCUCCCAGAUCGGAAUCUAGGAUUCAUGCUGGUUGGGCAAAAAUUGGGAGCACUGGAUUUUGGGUUUACUAUUACUUGGAUUUUAGGUUUUCAUCAGCGGGUUCUCGCGCGACUCCUCGGGGAGGGUGGUUUGGGUGCGUGUUCAAGGGCAUGCUGGGCAAUAUCCUGCUUGAUGACAACUUCGAAGAUUAUGUUAUGUACUUCUUACACUGCACAAAGCAAAACUGCGGUGAUCUUUCUGAAAAUAUUUGUUGUUGUGUGCAUGGUAUGUUGAGUUCCUGAUGAGUUCUGGAUGUCGUGUUCAUAAUCCAGGUCGCUUGUGAUGGGCACAUUUCGGUAAAUCAUCUUUGCAGGAGAUCUACUUUGCACGAUGCACAUCUCACCAUGGACCCUCUUCGACUGUCUUUCAGUUUGUUAGCAUUCUAUACAGCUUGGCCCUAAACAAUGUGGACCUGACCAACGACGUGCAACCUAGGAUAAGCCAGCUGUCUCGAACAGGACGGACAUUGGGCAGUUCCAGAGGAUGGCCUUCGACAUCCAUGAUUUCAGCUCCAAGUAUACCCACUCCAGAGUUGAUGUUUCCUAAUUAUAAUGGGCUUGAGUUUACUUCUGCUAUAGUUAAUUUUAAAUAAACACCGGUUGUCGUGUGGACAACUCCUGAGGUCAAGAUGACAAAAGAUUGCUAGAAGACUUGUGGAUUUAAGUCUAGCACGCAAGAAGCUCGCCACAGACCGUGUGCACCUGGAGGUGCUCAAAAUACGGCACGAGUCGUCGGAAGCCCGCGAGAACAUCAUGCAUGCCCGCCUCCUCCAGGUGGUGGCGACCAGGAGGAGGUGGAAAACGGCCUAUGCCGAGCUACCUCCUGGCGGUAAUCUAUCAGGGGGAGAUUGCUUGAUGUGGAUCUCUUGUGUGCAGAAAUCAAGUCUGAUUCUGAGAAUGGGUGCGGGAGGCGAGUGCGAGAUUUUAGACUGGUUUUGUUACUUACUGUUGCAGCUGAUCGUCACCUUGAGCUAGAUGAUGCUGGACCUAACCAAGUGAUCAAUAAGAUGCUUAUGACCAAACUAAAAUUACGAAUACAAAUUCUUUUGAUGAAAAAUGUUCCCGUUCUGGAAAUAACUUCAUAAUUCCAUGGGGCUUCACUUCGACGACUCCAUCUGAUGUAUGCGACAACCUCACCAGCCUUGAUGAUGCCGGCAGAUGUGCCUUGGAGUAUCCCAGGCUCAAGAAUGGUUCCCUCUUAGCCAAUGUUUGUAUAUGCACCAAUUAAAUAAUCAAAACAAAUUAUGUACAUGAUUUUUUUUCCCGUAGCAACGCACGGGCAUUUGUGCUAG